Molecule: transfer RNA, 72 nt
Filed under: Felis catus (domestic cat)
Lineage: Eukaryota; Metazoa; Chordata; Mammalia; Carnivora; Felidae
Rfam family: tRNA
About the family: Transfer RNA (tRNA) molecules are approximately 80 nucleotides in length. Their secondary structure includes four short double-helical elements and three loops (D, anti-codon, and T loops).
Source: Rfam by way of RNAcentral
GCCUGGCUGGCUCAGUCAAUAGAGCAUAUGACUCUUGAUCUUGGGCUGUGAGUUCCAGUCCCACACUGGGCA